UCUUCCACCCCAUGGUCGGCCAAACCAGCAAGAAGAGAGAGAAAACAAAAACCAAAUCCUAGAGAGAGAAAAUCAAAGAAAAAGUGUGAAUUUUCAAGGAAAUUAAGUGAAAAAGGUGAGAUUUUUUCUAUUAAGCUUGAGUUUUCUUAUUCCCAAGCAUUUCUCUUUAUUUUCCAUGAUUAAAUUACAUGUUUUCAUGAUGAAUUCAAUUCUGAAAAAAUGGGUUAGGAGAGAGAAAGUUGUUGGAUUUAUUUGAUUUUAAUUUAUGUUAGUGUUUUUAGUUAGUUUAGCAUAUUUAGAAACAAAACAACAAGAAAAGAAUUUAUUUUCUCCCCCAACCAUUAAUGGCUGAAUUUACCAUGUAGUGAGUGAGGAUGAGUUUGAUUUUAUUCUAGGAGAAUUGGUUAAGGAAUAAUGAAUUAUGAGCCUAGAAAAAUAAUGNNNNNNNNNNNNNNNNNNNNNNNNNNNNNNNNNNNNNNNNNNNNNNNNNNNNNNNNNAUUAUGAAAUCAUGGUUUUUGAUAUGGAAAUUAAUGAAUUAUGGAAAGAAAAUCAAGUAGGAAAAAUUGUGACAAUGAUGCACCAUUUUGGCCGAAUUUUUCCAAGAAGGAAUAUGAAUGUGGCUUUGCUGAUUUUUGGGUUAUUUGGCUGGACAUUGGUGAUUUGAAGCAUUAGAAAAAGAAAUGGGAUCAAUUGGAGCUAAAUUGGAUGUGUAUUUCAAUUUAUCGGGUAAAAGACCGAAAUAGGUUAAUACAGUGUUUAGGCAAAAUUUAGACCUUUUGCAUUCCAUAUCAUGCAUUAGUAGUCUAAAUUUGUUUAAUUUCAAUUUAGUACCAAUGUGGUGAAUUUCUUGAUUUUGUAUUGUGUCAAGGUGGUGAGUCCUCCGAUAAAGGCAAGGGAAUUGCAUCCGAAGACCAGUAGUCUGAGUAUUUCGAAAAUCCCCACUCUAGACAUUGUGAGUAACCUUAUCAUCAUUUUAAUUAUCUAAAGUAUGUUUUAACUCGGUUUUGGUGAAAUUUAUAUGAAAAUGAGUUAAAUGGCUAAGUUUAGGUUUUGCAAACAAAAAUGUGUUUAAAUGAAAAGAUUUUAUAAAUUGUCUUGAAACGAAAUAACGAUUUUGAAAAUAGAGUAAUUAGAGACCACUGGUAUGUUGCAAAUUUAUGAUUGGAAAUUGAUGGCUUAUGUUAUAUUGUUCAUGACUGGUUGGGCUGUAUUUUAUGAAUUGUAUGAAUUAUUUUAUUUUACCCUUGCAAGCUGGGUAGUAUUAUAUUAGCCCUGUCAUGUUGUUAAAAUUUUAUUGUAUGGUGGGUUUAGCUUGCUGCAGUAGGCGAGUUUUGUGGACCAGCCUAUUAGAGGGGUACAAAAUCUAGAUAUAUAUAUAUGUACCUCAGUUGGAGAGGCGCGUAGGGUAUCUCUUGAGGUAUGGUUAGAGUUCACGUCACACCGAACCACCUCAUGACGAUGAACUCUGCUAACGCCAAGGAAUGACUGUAUUUUUCAAACUAAAAAUAUGUUUUACGAGUAUACAAAAUUUUAACAGCCUUGGCGGGCUCAAGUGUAUGCCUCUGAUCAAGGUGUCAUCCAGUAUAUUUGAUGGCAUGAGCCAACUGUUUAUGAAAGUCAUAAGCCCUAAUGAGAAAUUAAAUGAAAUACAACCGUUUGCAUGGGUUGGAAUGAAUUUUCAAAUUGUUAAAUACUUAAAAUAAUGGGAUAUUUUAAUUGUCUCAUUUUACUCGGCUUUAGCUUAUUUAAAUGGUGUUUGUUUACUCACUAGGAUUUUAUAAUCUCACCACCCUCCUUUCCACCCAUUUCAGGAUCAGAGUAGUCUGUAAAUAGCUGGUUCCAUCGGGGAUUUCCAUUGGAUUGCGUUUUCCAAACUGUAAGUUCACAGCUUCUUUAAUUCUAAUUAUUAUGGGCCCACUUGAUUAUUGUAAAUUUAAUAGUUUAUUUUGCUACAAUAUGAUGAAUUUAUUUUGUUUUUACGUUACAAAAAGUAUUUACGCAUAACUCCAAAAUUACUGUUUAUAAGAAAAUAAAAUAUUUUAUUGAAUAUCUUGUUUUAUCUUCUUAUUAUAUUUAAACAAUUAUAAUUUUAUUUUAAAUAAAGGUUUUAGAUGCCUAAACUUAUUUUUAAUUGUAAAUUAUGCGAUUGGUACUUGUUUACUGCAUUUUUAACUGGUUUCAAAAUUUUCAGUGAAAAAUGACCAAAAUGCCCCUGUGAGAUAAUUUUUAUUUUAUCAGUUUUAAGUUGGAAAUAGCUCAAAAUCCUUUAGAACAUAAAAUUUGGCAACGGUUACUCACCGAGGGAAAUGAGAAACUGAUAUUAAGCCUUGCGGGGUUCCGAUUGACAUUUCGGGAGAUGAGUGCCCAUUGGGGCACCGCGACGGUUGUCACGGGCUUGAGGGGAGUUCCGGGUUGUGACAAAUUAAGAUGAGACUUGGAAAGGAACCUUAAAGGAAAAUUUUGGACAACUUUAACCUUGAGAAGUUGAGUUAUUGAUUAAAGGGAUUAGUUAAGAUCAUAUGAGGUAUGUGAUUGUCAUGAUUUAUUGAAAUGCUUCGUGAUAUAAGUUAAGAUGUAUCUAGUAAGCACUCGAUCAUUAAAGUACUGGAGUUUUGUUUAUGGGAAUAUGGUUACUAAUAGUUACUAGAUUUGAAUCAUCCAUGAUGUUAAAUAUAUCUGAAAUAAAUAAAGCUUGUUUUGAUCUUUACAUAUUAUGACAUGCUCGAAUGGAAUUUGUAUGGAAGUAUGUAAAAUAGAAUAGACGUUGGUUGAUGAUUUAGACCCACAGUCAAUGGUGGAAUAAAUGCUUGAAUGUUGGAAGGUUUGAUAAAAGGUCAAGGUAGAGGAAAUGUGGAUGGUUAAGUAAACAUGUAUAAUUGAUGAUUUAAGGAUGAUUUGAUUGAUAUGUGACCAGAAUUAAUAGCAUAUUUGAAUUUUCUUCAUAACAUGAAGAAUGGUAUCAUUUUGAUCCAACAAGAGCAGUACACAUAAUUCUAUAUCUUAUGUUAAGAAUGGCCAACGGAAGUGAUGCAAAAGAAUUUAGAAUUUUGAUUGUUCACCCCACGUCGAUUCGAAUUUGAGGACAAAUUCAUUAUAAGUUGGGGAAAUUGUAGUAUCUCGUACUUUGAGGUGGUGGCUAAUAAUGCUUACCGGCUACUAAUUGAGGUUGAUUAUUGAGUAAAAGGGGUAAUUCAGAAGUAAACCUGCGAAACCUCGACCUCUAUAGACAUGUAACUAGAAGUAGAUACGAUAAAACAGAUUAGGGGUAAUUUCAUCAUUUUCUUUAGUGAGCCCCUAAAAGUAUGCUUUCAAACAUUAUUAAGGCUUAAGUAGGCCUAAGGCACAAAUGAAUGAUGAAAAUAAGAAUAAGAUGACGAAGGAAAUAGAAAUAAUGAUGAUUUCCAAGGUAGGGGUAAAAUGGUCAUUUUGCAUCUCAAGUAUAAAUUUUUAAGUUUUCACGAACUUGAGUACUUCUAGACCAUUAUGGACUUUGUCUCAAUGUCCAAAGAGUAAAAAGUUGAACCGAAGGAAAGAAGAAGACAAAGUCACCUUAUGGAGGGCAUUUUGGUAAAUUACAUGAAAAAUGGAUAAACUUUAGACAUAAAUAUCCAAAGCUCCAGUAAUUUCCAGUAGCUUCCAACCAUUUCUUCUUCUCUUCCUAGCUCAUGUUUCUUUAUCUCCAUGGGAGCCUCCCAUAAAGCUUCCAUAGCUCUUUAAAUUAACUUCAAUUUACAUGCUUUGGUACACUUUUUCAUAAAACCUUUGGUACUCUUUCACUCCCUCACCUUAAAACCCUCAAAAGUCUUUCUUUAGCACUUUUUCUUACUAGUUGGAAGUUUUAGAGAGAGAAAGAGAGACUUGCCAUAGUAGCUUGAAAACUCUUGAAAAUGAGUUCAACUACAAGUCCACAAGGUGAGAGAAGAGUUAGAGUAGAACUUUAGUAAUGAAAUUGUGUUCACUGCUUUAGGCAUUGAACUGUAAGGUAUGGACUUGUAUCCACCUUGUGAACACCUUGAUGAGAUAAAUUCGAGAGAUUUUCACAAUGAGAAAACAUUAAAGCCCAAGGAGCAAAUAGCUAUAUAGUCACGUUAGGGCUCGUGACUGAUAUGUCACAUAAGUAUAAAGAUAAGUUGCAAAAACGAAGAUGUCUAGAAAUGUUGGUUUAAGGCAACGAUUAUCUUGCCAUUAUGCAGACCCGAUGAGGUUUGACAUUUGAAAUAACUUUAAGGAAUCUAAAGUUAAGUAUGUUUGCAUGUGACAUAUGACUAAUAAGUUGGUUAUGACUCGGGAAUUAUAAAGAUUGGUUAAGUCAUGAGGAUGCAUGCAAGAAUAUCGUUAAUUAUUGAAAUGCAUUGUGGUAUAAGUUGAAAUUACUUAGAGAGCACUCGAUCAUGAAAAUAUUGGAGAUUAUUUUCAGGAAUAUAGUUCUAUCGGUUACUGGAUUUGAAUCAUUUGCAAUGUUGAAUAUAUAGGAAAUGGAUAAAACAUUUUAAUCCUUGUGUAUUAUGAAAUGCUUGAAUGGGAUUUGUAUGGAAGUAUGUAAAACAAAAUAGAGAUUGAUUGAUGAUUUAGACCCACAGUCAAUGGUGGGAUAAAUGCUUGAAUGUUGAAAAGUUUGAUAAAAGGUCAAGGUAGAGGAAUCGUGAAUGGUUAUAUAAACAUGCAUGAUUGAUAAUUUAAGGUUGAUUUGAUUGCGGUGCAACUAGAAUUAAUGACAUAUUUGAAUUCUCUUUAUAAAAUGAAGUAUAGUAUUAAUGUGAUUCAAGAAGUGUAGUACACAUAAUUGUAUAUACUAUGGUAUUGUCGAGUUUUCUAUAAAGAUUGGAAGAUGAUAUAAAGUAUAAACCAAGAUCCUAUGUUCAGAACGGCCAACAAAAGUGAUGUGGUAGAAUUUUAAGACUUUCAUUAUUCACCUUACGUUGAUUUGAAUUCGAAGACGAAUUCAUUUUAAGUGGGAGAAACUGUAACGCCCCGUACUUUGAUAUGUUGAUUAAUAGAACAUGUCGGAUAUCAAUUGAGGAUGAAUUAAUGAUAUAAAAAGUGAUUUGGAAGUGAAUCGGGGCAUAAUAAGAUACUUUGAGUGCCAAGGAGACAAGUGAAAAAUUUUAGAAGAAAAUAAUAUUAAAAUAUUAAUAUUUUAUUAAGUGUCGAAAUUUUCAAUGAAAAAGGAAUAUAUGGUCAAUCUAAGUGGGGGAGAAGAAGAACGAGAAAAUUUCAAAAAAAAUUGACGUUAAUAGGGCUCACGUGUCUUUAUUAAAUAAAGCUAGCGCAAGUAAGUAAAUAUUUAAAUAUUACGGUGUACUGCAUUGAAGUAUAAAAUUGAUAUUUUAUUGAUACAAGUAUUAAGGAAGAAAAAUGGAAAGAAAUUAGAAUUAAAAGAUUGUGGGAGGAUACAAUUAAAAAGGAUGAAAACCUUGGAGGGUAAAAUGGUAAUUUUGACAUUAGUUUGGUUGACUCUUCAUCCUUAUCCCAUGGCUGGUUCUUAUCUCCAGCCAAAAGAUAUUUUCAUCUUAUCUUCCAUGCUCCUAAUGCCAUUUUCAUGCUCCCACGCCAUUUCACCUUACUACCAUGCAUUUGAAAAGAAAAAUGGCUUUGUUUUGCAAGGAAAAUCGUACUCUUGGAAAAUAAAUUGAUGAGAUCAAUUGGAAGAAAGGAGAAAGGAAAGAAGAAAGGAGAAAGAAAAAGAGAGAAAGGAAGAAAAAGCUUGGUUUUGGUGAUUCAAGUAAGGAAAGGUAAGGAUUCUUAUUUUUAGCUUGAGUAAUCUUUGAAAAUGAGUUAGUGACUAAGAGAAAUGUCUCGUGCCAACAAAGAUUGGCUUGAUUGGAGAAAAAUUGGUGACAUACAAGCCAAUAAACCCUGUGGGUACAUGAUGGACUCAAGGUGGAAAAGGAAAGCGAUAAGCUUAACACUAUGUUUAAAGCCUACAGUUAGUUGGAUAUUGUGAGGAAUUAUGGUUGUUGAAAAGAUCUAUUUGCAUAAGCUUGUUGAAAAUUGUUAAGUUUGUAUGGCAUGCUGUUUGAAAGAAAUGAAAAAGGAAUAUUGUGGAUGGAGGAUUAAGAAACAAAGUAUUGAAAGUUAGAUAGAUAAUGAUGCAUGUAAACUUGGAAAUAAUUGAGUGAAAGUGAGAAUGAUUGUUGCUGCCAUAUAUGUGGGUUAUGUGUGAAAAUAUAAGACGAAUUUGAAUGAAAAUGGCUGGAAAAGGUUGAUAUGGGUGCUAGAGUCAUAAAUAAGUUACCGGUAAUUAUAAUUUAAAGAAUUACGCAAGCAAAGGAUAAAGGCAACUUUGGUAAAAAUGUGUCAAGAUGUAUAUGAAUAUGCAAUGUUAAGUGAGGAAAAGUGGUGAUUCUAGCAUAGUAUGAGUUAUUAACAUGAUGGUAAUGUUUGAAUAAGGAAGAAAAUGGGAAUGAUAAACACUAAGAUUAUUCGAUUUGGUUUAUUGCCAAGAAGUGUGCAAGUGAAAAAAAAAAAAGACACCGUGGUGAUCAACUAAAGGAGAAAACACACCCGGAUAAGUGGCGAAGUGAUAUCUCGCCAUUGUAAGGUGAGUAGAGGGUGCCUAUUUCAAAAAUUUCCAUAGCUAUAUAAUGUUAUACGUUUUAUAAAUGUUGUCAAAUUUCGUUAAAUGCAAUUGUGGAAAGCAUGAGCCGUUAGCCUCGAUAGGUGAUUUCUAAAUGGAUUUAUAAUGAUUUAUACACUGUUAUUGUAGAAAGCAUGGGCUGGUAAAACUCGUAGUAAAUUGUGGAUGCAAGUUGUUUUGAAAAUUGUUUUGGAUAUAUCUAUAGAUGAGCUAUAUACGUAAAGUGUUUUAGAAACCGGGAAACAAGCCCUUUUAUAUUGUUUUGCAUUCAAAAUUUGUGCCUUGUAUUUUUGUGUGAUAUGCAUAGUUUAAAUGAAAUAGUUAAAUGAUUUAAAAUGCAAGAUUUGAGCAUCGGUUUUAGUCCGAUCUUUGUAUAAGAGAAUACAACAUGCCUUUUUAUGUGAAAAGUAAUUUGAAGGCUUAUUGAACCUUGGUUUCAAAUGGUUUUAAGCGAAAGACUUGGAAACUUCAAUGUGAUUUUUGAAAAUGGUUUGGACAAACCAAGUGCGUCCAGAGUAGGUCGACUGUCACUUCGGUUAAUUGUGACUCUUGUGCAUAAGUGAGCUCUAAAUAGAGAACAUUUGUGUCACCGACGGGCGGUUAGGCGUGGCGAGGGCACGACCUAUGAUAUGUAUACGUGGCUAGGCCACAAGUGAUCCAGUAGAGUAAGACUCCCGGAUGUGCACUGUAACGAUCACUUGAUUCUCCGAUGUCGGUCAACAUCGUGGAGACUAUCAUGGCUAUGGGAAUCCGGUGGAGUAAGACUCUCAGAUUGUUAUUAUGUGGAACUGGGUCCAUGUGCUGAUAUUAUAUUUUUCUACUCGAGAGCCUUGUGAGUUUUUCAACACAUACUCUUUGGCAUGGUGGAGGGUUCAGAUUUUCUCUGUAGCUCCCCUAGUUUAAAUAAAAGCUUUCCGUGCUUACUCGACAAUCAUGAGUUGGUUUAUGUGGCUAUACACUUUGAUUUCUUUACAUUCUUUACAUUUUGGAAGCGUGCAUACCUUUAUAUCGUAUUUCAUAUUUUGAUGGCAAAUGAUAUUUUCAAUAAUUGAAACUCUUACGGUUACACUUAUUUUCGGCACUAUUUUGCCAAAGAAAGCAUUGUAUUAUGAUUUUACGAUAUUAUUUUUACAAGGCACAAAUACCCUUAUUGUGAUUAGUUUAUAAGAUUAGCAUUUCAUACUCUGAUUUUAUCAUUCAAAUGAUUUACUUAUUGCUUGUUUCCCAUCUACUCCCUGCUCACAGAGCUGAUGAUCACUGAGUCUGUGAGACUCACUCCCUCAUUUUCCCUUUUGCAGAUAGUGAUCGCCCUAGCGUGAAAUCUUGACACUUAUUGUAGUACCUCGUAUUUUGAUAGGUAGCUAAUAAAGUCUACGGAUGCCAAUUGAGGUUGAUUACUGAGUUAAAAGGGUAAUUCAGAAGUGAACCCAUGAAAUCUCGAUCUCCAUAGACACAUGACUAAAAGUAGACGCGAUAAUGCGGAUCAGGGGUAAUUUCAUAAUUUCUCUUAAUGAGCUCCUAUGAGUGGGCUUUCUUUUAUGCUAUUAAGGUCUAAAAAGGCCUAAGGAAUGAAUAAAUGAUGUGUAAUGAUGAAAACAUGAAGAAAACUAGAAGUGAUAAUAAUUUUCACAACAAGGGCAAAAUGGUCAUUUUACACCUCGAGUCAAAAUUUUAAGUUUUCGUAAACUCGAGUAGUUUAGAUCAUUAUGGACCUCGUCUCAGUGUCAAAAGAAUACAAAGAUUGCACAAAGGAUUGGAGAAGAACAAGUUAACUUGCUAAAGGGCAUUUUCGUAAUUACUAAGGGAAUUGGAUAAGUUUGAGCUAUAAAUAUCGUUUUCUUCUAGCAGCUUCUUCAUUCUCCAGUAGCUUCUUCUCCUUCUUCUUCUUCCAUCUCACGUUGCUUCCAUCCUCCAUGGAAGCUUGCUUUACAACUUCCAUAACUUUCUCUCUCUAGCUCCAAAUUUCAUGCUUUUGCCCACUCUUUCAUACGGUUUUUCAUGCUUUUCCACUUUUACACCUUAAAACCCUCAAAAAAGUCUUUGUUCAACAUUUUCUCUCACUAGCUGAAAGUUUUAGAGAGAGAAAAAGAGACUUGCCAUAGUAGCUUGGAAGCUUUUGUAAAGGAAUUCAACUACAAAAAAAAACCACCAAGGUGAGAAAUGAGUUAGAAUUUGAUUUUAAGGUGUUAGAGAUAACUAGAAAUUUGAUUUAUGGGCAGUUAUAUUUUUGAUAGUUAUAUUGUGGGUGAUAGGUUCAAACAAGGCCUCACAUGUCCGUUUGAAGUAAUAAUCGAAGUUAGAGUCGAUUAGAGGUUCAACAAUCCCGGUGAGUGAACUUACAUUUCAAAAUUUGUUUUGGGAAUGUGAAUCUAUUUGCACAAAUAUUGAUUGAUUUUAUUCAACUUUUCUUAAAAAUGUGUGCCUUGGGAACAAGCCUUUGAUAAAUUAUCUUUAUGUUGUGACAUAUGACUGUUAUGGAUUCAUGCACUACUACAUUAUGUUUAUGUAUAUAUAUAUAUAUAUAUAUAUAUAUAUAUAUAUAUAUAUGUUGUGCAUUGAUGAAUAAUGUUGUGUAGUGAUAUUGACCCGGCUAUGUAUGAGUAGGAGUGUUCAUAUGUCGAUGAUGACCCAACUAUGUGCAAGUGGGAGUGUACAUAAGCCGAUGAUGACCCGGCUAUGUGCGAGUAGGAGUGUGCAUAAUCCGUGCUGACCCAGCCAUGUGCUAGUGGGAAGUGCAUUUGUGUUGCUGAUGAUGAGAGGGUGUGCAUGAUGAUGGGUAUAUAUAUAUAUACAUAUACAUAUAUAGUUUUGUGUGUUAUAGAAAGUUCAUGAGUAUGGUAUAUGGUCUUGUACAUGUGAAUCUUGCAUGUUGAACUUUGGAAAUUUUGAGCACUUCAUGUUGAAAUUAGCAUGAUGAAUCUUGAGAAUGUCCCUUUUUCUUGCAAAUUGAGUUUAUUGCAGCACCAAAUGGAUUUUUAGUGCAAAUGAGGCCUUUUUUCACUUAAGUGCCCUACUUUUCUUGCAGCGAGAAAGCAUUCUAGCUGCAAUGAGAAACAUUCUGUUUUGGCAGUCAGAAACUUGCUACAGCAAAAAUAAAUCCCGCUGCAGCGAGAAACUCUCGGGGUUUUGAUGCAGUGCCUUCAAUUUGAUGAAGAUUUUGGCCCCUUUCCCGUCCGAACUGGGAAAAGUGAUAAAAAUCAAAGUUGUAGCAUUUCCUCUUAGUGUUCUAAUGGUCUAAAAAUUAAGUCAAUUGGACUUCUGUAGCGAGAUAUAUCUUAGAAAAACUAAUAUAUAUGCAAACUAACAUUGUUUCUCACUACAGCGAGAAACUUUCUAUUUUGGCCGCCCAAUCUCGCUACAGCGAGAAUAAACUUUACUGUAGUGAGAAACUUGCUGCCAUGCUUGCUACCUUGCUUGAUUUUGACCUACUUUUUACCCAUUUAAGUUCAUGGAUUGAUCAUGGGUUUGUGAAACACUAUAAGGGCAUUAAUCAAGGUUUGAAAUGAAGGGUUUUUAGUAAGAAAUUAAAUGAAACACUAUGAGGGCAUUAAUCAAGGUUUGAAAUGAGGGGUUUUUAGUAAGAAAUUAAAUCAAGUGCAUUGUUUUUGAAACAAGUGCAUCAUGAUUUCCAAAUUCUUCCUAUCAAUUACUUGUUCCCUUCUUAUGUUCACUCAUUGAGUUUUAUACUCACGUUUUUAAAUUUCAUGUUUUCAGAUUCGAAGGCAGUUGGGACCUAGAUUGAGUCUCACACAUAUGCUCGCCUUCUUGGUAGGUACUAUGGCAUCUCAGUAGUGGUACCUUCACUUAAAGUCACUCCGCUGACAGUUGAGAGUCUUUUAUCUAUGUACAUGUAUAUGGAAUGUAAACUACUAGGAGUCAUGUUAUAAAUGAAGUAUGUAUAUGUUGGAUUGAUGAUGAUACCUUAUGAGAUGGCAAU
This 10515-nucleotide long non-coding RNA is filed under the name Theobroma cacao (cacao). Its description in RNAcentral is "long non-coding RNA (TCAC_LNC004973)". Lineage: Eukaryota; Viridiplantae; Streptophyta; Magnoliopsida; Malvales; Malvaceae. The record is from RNAcentral.